RNAcentral lists this ribosomal RNA (1353 nucleotides) under uncultured marine eukaryote. RNAcentral describes it as "SSU rRNA". It matches the Rfam family "Eukaryotic small subunit ribosomal RNA", at positions 411 to 1774 of the family's 1831-position model. The record is from RNAcentral.
CACUUCUAAGGAAGGCAGCAGGCGCGCAAAUUACCCAAUCCUGAUACAGGGAGGUAGUGACAAGAAAUAACAAUAGACGGGACUAUUGUUCUGUCUAAUUGGAAUGAGUACAAUUUAAACAACUUAACGAGGAUCCAUUGGAGGGCAAGUCUGGUGCCAGCAGCCGCGGUAAUUCCAACUCCAAUAGCGUAUACUAAAGUUGUUGCAGUUAAAAAGCUCGUAGUUGGAUUUCUGUGGGGACGGAGCGGCCGGCCGCAACACGCGGUUCGAGCUAGCGCUUUCCCUACAUCCUGCCGCGAACCGUGCUACCAUUAGUUUGGUGGCGCCGGGGAUCGGCUCGAUUACUUUGAGAAAAAUAGAGUGUUCAAAGCAGGCCACAUGCCUUGAAUAAGUUAGCAUGGAAUAAUAACUAAAGACUUCGGUUCUAUUUUGUUGGUGUUCGGGACUGAAGUAAUGAUUGAUAGGGACAGUUGGGGCGGUCUGUAUUCCAAAGCGAGAGGUGAAAUUCUUAGACCUUCGGAAGACAAACAGCUGCGAAAGCGUUCCGCAAGGAUGUUCCCUUUGAUCAAGAACGAAAGUUGGGGGAUCGAAGACGAUCAGAUACCGUCGUAGUCUCAACUAUAAACUAUACCAGCUAGGGAUCGGCCAACGUUAUUUCAUACCGACUUGGUCGGCACCUUAUGAGAAAUCAAAGCAUCUGGGUUCCGGGGGGAGUAUGGUCGCAAGGCUGAAACUUAAAGGAAUUGACGGAAGGGCACCACCAGCCGUGGAGCCUGUGGCUUAAUUUGACUCAACACGGGAAAACUUACCAGGUCCAGACAUAGUAAGGAUUGACAGAUUGAUAGCUCUUUCUUGAUUCUGUGGGUGGUGGUGCAUGGCCGUUCUUAGUUGGUGGAGUGAUUUGUCUGGUUAAUUCCGUUAACGAACGAGACCCCAGCCUGCUAAAUAGCGCGCGUGAGCUUUGCUCGCGGCGAGCUUCUUAGAGGGACUCUGAUGCGCGAUAGCACAUGGAAGUUUGGGGCAAUAACAGGUCUGUGAUGCCCUUAGAUGUUCUGGGCCGCACACGGGCUACACUGGCGCCUGCAACGAGCAUAUCAGCUGGCCCGAGAGGGUCUUGGCUAAUCUUUUGAACCGGCGCCGUGCUUGGGAUUGACCUUUGCAAUUGUUGGUCAUGCAACGAGGAAUGCCUUGUAAACGCGAGUCAUCAGCUCGCAUUGAAUACGUCCCUGCCCUUUGUACACACCGCCCGUCGCUCCUACCGAUGAAUGUUCCGAUGAAAUUUUCGGAGAGCACCUGUGAACUUGGCUCCGCCUUGCGAACGGGAGGCUCAAAGUCACUUAAAUCUGAACAUUU